Long non-coding RNA from Magnolia sinica, 2368 nucleotides. RefSeq lists it as uncharacterized. Lineage: Eukaryota; Viridiplantae; Streptophyta; Magnoliopsida; Magnoliales; Magnoliaceae. The record is from RefSeq and is a predicted model, not a curated record. The transcript has 2 exons.
GUUAACUCAUCCAUAACCAAUGCAAAAGGAUCCAGACUCAAUGCUGACUCAUGGUGGAGGCCUACUGUAAUUGGAAACUCAUGUGUCUCCCCACCGGAGGUCCUCACAUUAGUUACCACUCCCUUGUACAUUUCCUUGACCAUGUCAAUAUAUGAUCUUGAGGCUCAUUUCUUUCCCAACACCCACCAGAUUUUUAUUUUUUUUUUUUUUUUUUGAAAGAUGACUGAAAUUUUAUUAAAAGCAAACUAAAAAGAGACAAUACAAAUACAGGAGGGGCGCCGAGAAGACGGCCCACACUAUCUAAGAAAACCUAAAUUACAAAUUCUUCAGCUUAGGAUCACAAGAGGGGAGGCCCGUUCGAUAACUAAGUUCCUCGCCCUAUGGGAUGUGCUCGCACAAGGCUUGCUCAUAUUGGAGAAGCACCUCGCAUUCCUUUCUUCCCAAACCGCCCACCAAAUAGCACGAAGCACCAUUCUCCAAAGGUAUGAUCUACCUUUCCCAAGGCGGGCUCCAAAUCAAGAGGGUAUGACAUGCAUCCACUGAACUCGGGGAAACCCACAUCAUCCGAAAACGACCUAACAUAUCAGCCCAAAUGUGUCUUACAUGGGAGCAAUGCAUAAAGAGAUGGUCCACUGAUUCCUCAUCUUGCAUACACAAAAGACAUUUGGGAGCACCAUCCCUCUCUUCCAAAGAUUGUCUAUGGUGAGGACUUUCUUCCUCCCCACCCACCAGAUUGUCUAUCUGGAGACCGAAUCUUUUCCAUUUUCUUAGGCAACAGUGUUUUUAUUGAUAGGGAACUAUUAACCCGUAUAUAAGAGGGGGCAUAAAGGCCUUACUCAGAAAUCUCAUCAGACCAUUUUAUCAUCAUCCUCGUCAUCGAAGCCUUUUUUGCUUUCUUUCUUUUAAAGAUGACAAAAAAUUUAUUAAAAGAAGCAUCGAAAAGGCAAAAAACACAACUAAAGCCCAGCCAACACGGACCAAUCACUAUGGUUGGAGGCUUUAAUACAAUUUAUCCAAUCUAGAACAUCUAACUUCGCUCUUCUGAAGACAUCCAUAACCGACACACUUUUGUUUCGGAGGCACCGAUUGUAACCCCCCAACCCCCAAUCAUCUAAGCCUUAUACCAACUAAUUUGGAUUGGCUACAUGAUUGCUGUUCCACCACUGCCACUGUCAUGUCAAGAUUUGUGAGAACAAGGAUAUGGCCAAAGUUUUGUGCCAGCUACCUACCUGAACCUUUCUCCUUUAUCCAGGCUCGGGGCCACCGAUAAGCGCACAAAAACUCAAACAGGAGCAAUCUAUUCACUUUAAAACGUCUAGGAGCAUCUGAUGCAACAUACCUUAUUUCUGCAAUAUUGUCGAAGAGUUACCUUGUGGUUCCAACUAAGACAGGACGUCCUUGUCCAAAACAUGAACUCUGCUUCUUCUCAAACAUAUUCCCAUUUUUCCAAAACAUCUGCCACCUCAUUACUUUACUGACACGCAUUCUUAAUUCAAAUUGACCAUUUCAAACAGAAGUCCUUUAUAAGCUUCAAUAAAAAACUGAGUCACCCGGGGAGAGAGGCCUUCAAACCUAAGCCAUAGCUUUGAGUCACUUCCCAACUCUACAUCAUCCAAACCCAGCUGGUCACAAUGCCCUUGCCCAUCGACCAUCACUCUAAUCUCAGCAAUUAGAUUGGACAGUCCCAUAUGCAUGCCAAAAUGCAAAUAUAAAUCUACAGCAGUGGUCCCUACAACCACCACCACUUCCACCCACUCCUGGCUUACCUUUAGGCCCCAUUUGUGUUGCUGCUUAAAAUGAGUUCAUCUCAUUUUAGUUAGCAGUAAUUGUCUAUUAUAAUAUUUGCAAGUAUAAAAAAUCAUGAUAAUCCAUAAUUAAUAUAAAUUAUAAUCUCUGAGGGUGUGUUUGGUUGCACCAAAUUAGACUGAUUGAUCAUGAAAUUUAUUGCAAUCCAAAAACUCAUUUUCACUAGAUAAGUUUCGAUUUUGAGUGUCGGGAAGAUAUCAAGCAUGAUUUCCGCUUUUUCCUUGAUAUAACUGUGAAUUUCUUCUUGCAUAUAAUCGUGUGUUUUCUUUUUAAAGUGAUUGAUGGGCACUUCGAGUAUUAAUCAUCCUUCCAACUCAGUGACAAAACAACUAGUGGUGAAACCAAAGACAAAAGAAGAAUUUAAAAACGUAUUGGAACCUUACACGGCCAGGGGUUUAGACAUCAUCAGCAUUGCAGCUCUGCCAAUCUCCCAGGUCUGGUUCUUCGAGAAUUGUGCAGCAUCCUUUUGAAUGUAUGGCUCUCUCUUUUCAACCAUUCUCAUCGUAUCAGACCCGUUAACUAAUGAAUGCUUGAAAGCAUCAGCACGGUAUUUCAUUUUGCA